CACGUAGGGCGCAAGCGUUGUCCGGAAUUAUUGGGCGUAAAGAGCUCGUAGGCGGUCUGUUACGUCUGCUGUGAAAACCCGGGGCUUAACCCCUGGCUUGCAGUGGAUACGGACAGACUAGAGGUAGGUAGGGGAGAAUGGAAUUCCCGGUGUAGCGGUGAAAUGCGCAGAUAUCGGGAGGAACACCGGUGGCGAAGGCGGUUCUCUGGGCCUUACCUGACGCUGAGGAGCGAAAGCGUGGGGAGCAAACAGG
RNAcentral lists this ribosomal RNA (253 nucleotides) under uncultured bacterium. RNAcentral describes it as "partial 16S ribosomal RNA". It matches the Rfam family "Bacterial small subunit ribosomal RNA", at positions 524 to 776 of the family's 1533-position model. The record is from RNAcentral.